AAAAAAAUUAUAUAUUUACAUGCAGAUUGUUCCGUUGUUUUGAACAAGAACUAAUAUAUUGUAACUAUUUGACAGGGCCAAACAAUGCAUGUUACUGUGAGAAUUAAAACUCAUGAUACUAUAAAUGUGGAGUUUGAUACACAAUUAUUGAUCAAAUAAGAAUGAGAAACCUGUUUAUGCAUUAUCAUAUUAAAAUUGUGGAAGCCAGAAAGUAUCACCUGUCGACCAAUGAAAUACAGAGGUAAGGAUCAUCGGAAAAUUUUCCUGAUUAGUAAUUCCAGUUUGCUUCCAAGGACACACUACAAGAACAUGCAGGGAAAGAUAAACAAUGCUCAGGUAUACUUAUACUUUAUAGUUCUAAAUAAGACUCAACUAAUUAAUCUUUCUCGCUAUGAAGUAUCUAAUCGCCAAUUAUACAGAUGUCAUUACUCACCCAAAUGAAGCAUGUGGAAUCAAGAUUAAUGGAGUAAGUGCAUAAUGCAUAACCACAUACUUUAAUUGGACUUCCAUCAUUGCAUUAUCAUUAAAUUUUCCAGCUUAAACUUUUCAUGAGUGAUAAAAUCAGAAUUACGCUAUAGGGAAAUUCUACUUUAUAUUUUCAAUGAGGAUGUAAUCGACAUCGAAACUAUCCUUAUUGUGACAUCAACAACCGUGCAGAAGUUUUAAUAGUACGUCCAAUAAAGUCACAACAUCUUCUGUCAUUUACAAACAAAUAACAGAUUUCCAUGAUUAAAGAGGAUUGUGCCUAAAAUCAACCACUGUCGCAAAUGUAUACAUAUCUAGAUACACCCGCAACUCAGGAACCUCUUGAAAGGUAUGGAACACUAUCUUGUAUUAUUUAUCAACUAAUGAAUCAUGACUCAUGUUUAUUAACCAAUGUAAAAUAAUAAUUAUACUUGACUAACUCCAUAUAUGCAGACACUCACCAGAAGAAACUUCACCAAAAAUGAUCGAGAUAGAUAGAAGUACACAAGGUACACUAGAAGAACAAGUGUCUUACAGAACUUAUUGGAAUGACGCAUGGAAACUAAGCAAAUCAGGCAGUCAUAAAACUUCUUCUAAGAUAUGACAUCACCACUUUUCAAGAAAAACAAGACUCUAAGACCUGCAGGGACAGUGAGCUAUAUCAGUUAUAAGCUUAUAAUGGAGCCAUAUUCGACUUAUUAAUGUAUGUCAACUUCUUCAGAUUGAUAUUUUUGAUUUUGUGGGUAAUUUAUUUAAAUUUUGCAUUCAUGGCAAUAGCUACAAUAGAUCUGUUGCAAGAAAAUAUUUGAUGUUGGUAUAUGUCAUGUGAUGAUUGUUUUCUGCAGCAAUAACAAUGCUAUGGUAGGCAUAGUAUUCGACUCCAAAUUAGUGGAUGUACAACUACUACAAGCUGCAGUUCCUUUAACGAGGGGUGGCAAAAAGUUGCUUAAUACAUUUGUCUUGAACUUGAUGAACUCAUUGGAUGGAAAAUCUGAAGAAGUGCAGAAGAUUAUACGAUAAUUAUGCUGAAAACAAGAGAAACUAUUUGUAUUAACUGAUAUAGAGUAAGAAUACUUGACAAUCCAUUAAUAUAAGGAGGACUUAUUAGGUAACAACGGUUUAUUUAUUUAUUUUCGAACGCGGAGGUGAAAGGCCUCAGUCGAUAAAUUAAGCAGAAGAGAAUUACCCAGUUAAUUAGCGGAAAACUGGGCGAAUACCAUGAUAACAACGGUAUAACAUUACCACUAUCAGAAGCAUGCCAUAUUGUAAUUAUUUAAAUACAUUCAGACAUGCACUUUUGUGAGUUUUAUAUUCUUGGUAAAAUCAAUUACAUGAACCAACAUUUCAGUUAGUACAUGUAAGCUGUCCUGCUUUGUCUUAAUACACAUACAAGUAAUAUAACUUGCUAAUAUAUGGUAACAAGAAAUAAAAAUACAUGUGAACAAUCAGCCACUAUGGAGGAACUAGGAAUGAUUUAAAGCCGUAGCACAUUACAUAGGUGGAAGCUGACAGCACCAGCAAUGAGGAAGCCCAUAGCUCGCCUCAACCUGCAGACUCUCUGUAAAUGCAAAGAGACCAAUCACAAAUGUAUAUUACUACUUUUUAAAACUGCUUUCAUGUGUAUAUAUGGUAAUAAGAGCGAACAAGACUUAUAAUAUUGGCUUUACGUAGUAGAUGGAUAUAAUGAGUAUAGUUUUGCUGUAUGAAGGUCCAUAUAAUCAUUAUGGAGGAGUUGAAGAGAUAAUAAUCAAAAUUUAGGUAGAAUGUCAACAUAAAAAAGAUCAUGCUCAGUUCCCUAACAAACAUAAGGCGCAUCAAUGGAUGUCAAAUAACUAUAAUCUUUAUCCUAUAACUAAUAAUCCUUACAUGAACCCAGAAUGUACGAGGUUAUCUCCUAAAUUAAAAUUCAACAGAACAGCAGAGUAUAUCAUCUGUAUCUCUUAAGUAAUCUAAAGAUAAUAUAUGUAAAAAUAACUUACAAGUACAUAUAUACUGCCAGGCAAGAGGAGACUACAGAGAAUAUCAGGAGAGUAUAGGAAGAGAUUCAUUACCGGCCCAUACUGCUCCACCUCAACGACGACAGAGAAGAUGGUCAUCCAACCUGACAACAAAUCUCUCAUUCCUGGCACGAUGAGUAGGAGAGUAGAGCUAACAACAAGCUAUCUCUCAGAUUCUCCCGUGGCCUGCCUCACCAGAUCAGAAUCUGCAAGAUGCGACCUAGCCGGUAGGCGGCUCAAGAUCCGCGGCUUGAAAGCCCGUCCCCUCCUUGCUCAGAGCUGGCCUCCGAGAGCAUCUUCUUCAAAGCUUCGGUGCUGGGCAUGCCACUCGAUUUGGUAUACAACCAAGCUUCCAAGACUACCACGAUAGAGCAAGGAAAGGGAGGAUCUACUUUCUCAUUUAGAACAGAGGAUGUAGAGACGUGAAGCAGUUAACCAAUUAGCCUUUUCUUUUGAUGGGAACCAAUUAGCCUUUGUUCCCAAUGAAGUAGACCAACUAGCCCAUUGUGACUUGUGAGAGUGACUCAAGAAAAAUAUUAAAAUAAUUUGUAAAAAAAACUUACAACAAUACUAGGUCGUGGGUCUAUUAGUAGAAAAUUUGAUAUCGUUCUGAUAGAGCAUAUAAUGGACCGAGGGGC
Molecule: long non-coding RNA, 3100 nt
Filed under: Triticum aestivum (bread wheat)
Lineage: Eukaryota; Viridiplantae; Streptophyta; Magnoliopsida; Poales; Poaceae
Description: long non-coding RNA (TAES_LNC000212)
Source: RNAcentral